RNAcentral lists this long non-coding RNA (1245 nucleotides) under Volvox carteri. Its description in RNAcentral is "long non-coding RNA (VCAR_LNC002888)". The record is from RNAcentral. Lineage: Eukaryota; Viridiplantae; Chlorophyta; Chlorophyceae; Chlamydomonadales; Volvocaceae.
AGGGAGGAAGAGGAGCAGGAUAACACAAAUACAAGUGUAGACAUGGGUGUGUGUAUGUACGUAUGUAUGUAUAUAUGUAUGUAUGUAUGUAUGUAUGUAUGUAUGUAUGUAUGUAUGUAUGUACAUGUUACAGACCCGUGGACGACCACCGUAACUCUUUAGGAAAAUCCCCAAACACAAUCACACGCACACACAUAUAUACAUACACAAACACAUCCUUUUUGUGAAAACACCUUUGCCUCAACUACCUACCUACCUACAGACAGACAGACGUACAUACACACACAGAGGUCCGCGCACCUCCAAGUAAUUGGGUGCUCGUCGCUUGAGCCGCUCAAUGUCGAACCGCACAUUCUUCUCCGCGUCGUGCCAGUCCUGUGUGUGUGUACGAGUGAGCGUACGUCAGUAAGUGGGUGUGUGCAUGUGUGCAUGUAUGUAUGUAGGGUUUUAGGGUUUGCACAAAGUCACCAACAUUCCGGACCGCCGACGUGCAAGGCGCUAGCUGCCCACCCCCCCCAAAGGUGUUUGUGCAAGUAGAGGGGGAGGGGGAUUUGGGGGUAAGACGAACCACAUGUUGGGUUUUUUUGGGGGGGGAGGUUUGGAACCAGACGCCAAAGUCCGGGAGGGGGUCGGGGGAGGGCCGUGGGAGAGAGGUGUACGGCAAAUAUAUCUGGACAUGUAAGCGAAACAACCACCCAGGGAAAUAAAGGGUGUGAGUGUGUGUGUGUGUGGGGGGGGGCCGGGGUGGUGGUGUGUGUGUGUGGGGGGGGUUACGUAGGGGCACGUACGUACGACAAAACUCCUCCUUCCACAAAACCUUCAACACCUCCCGCAGGCCAACAACAGCAACACACAUGUAUGUAGUGGCGGCUCGCGGCUCACAUACGCGCGAACACAUAUACACAUGAAUAUAUACAUACAUUCAUACAUACACUCAUACGAACACACACUCAUACCUUGGCGACCAGGCAGCAGGUGGCGAUGUUGACCACGCGGCGGAUAAACGCUCGCUGCAUGUUGAGCGCAAAGGCAUAGCACUCGUCCACCAGAUCCUCCUCCUCAAUCACGUAACUGAAUCAGGCGGUUAACAGUUGACAGUUAGGAGGGUUUUGCCGCGAGUUACACAGUAGCAUGAAAAAAAUGACUAUUUCAAACCGUUUAAUUUACGUUGACAACAGUUCCUCAGGGCCUUCACAGGCCCCGGGGGGGCUUCCUUGGUUUGGGACCCUAGUUGACAGUUAGCGG